CCCUGCUGUUCACUUUUCUUGAAUUGUCUACUGAAUGUGUGCCUAAUCAUGUGUACCUCUCAGCAUUAUCAAGGGUGAUUUAGAAUGGGGUUCAGUGGGCAAGUCUUCUGGAUUCAGUUCUGACUUAUUGGGUGGGAAUCUUCUGAUAGCAUGCCUUUCUACCAGGGUGAUGGAUUCAUUCCAGCGUCAGGAUAAAGACUUGACAACAUAUAAAUUUUGGAAAUAAGCCAAUAACAAAAUAAUAUUAAAAACGUCACAACAAUUUACCAUUGUUCCCAACAGGUUUUCACACUUCGGAAACCACACAUAAUGACAUCAUCAUCUAUUUUUUGGAAUACAUCGUUUUCAAUAUAUAAACUAAGUUGUCAUUCAUCCACCGAUCUCCAAUUUUAUUGCGCAAUCGAGCCUUCACAAUGUUAUUUGCAGUCAAGACUCUUUCAACUGUCGGAGUAGCAAUGGGAAGAAUUAAUGCCAAAUUCACAAGCUUGUAAACUAAUGGAUACACUUCAUUUUUCUUAGUUGCAUUCAACUUCGUUGAAAGAUUACUAAGGCCCCGUAAUUCUUUGAACUCUUUGCUAGAGCGAAUAUCAGUGAUAUAAGCUUCAAGUUGAUCAUCAAGUUUCAUAAACUCUGUUGUUGAAAAGUCGUUUGGAUAAUACUGAGCAAGGCGAACUAACUUUUCCUUAUCAAAAGCCGAGAAUGAAUCAUUGGGGCAUAAGCAUGCUACACAAAGAAGAAGCUCAUUAUUUACCUCAGUGAAUCGAUCAUUCAAUUCUUGAAGUUGCAUAUCAAUGACAUUAUAGAAUAAACCCUCACGGAAGUAAUGCAAAUUUGUCAUUUCUUCAAUAUUCCGCCUUGGGCGACCUUUAUACGUAAAGGUACCAUCCAUGUUCAAAACAUCAAUAUAGUGCUUUUGACAAAAAGAACGUACUUGUUCCAAAAGAGAAUCCCACCCAUUCUCCCUAAUCAAUUGGAGUUGUUGUUUACAUACUUUCACUAAACUUAUGGCAUUUACAAUAUCUUCAUCUUUCUUUUGUAAUGCCUUCGACAAUUCAUUGGAAAUUCCUAAAAUAGUUUUCAUGAGAUGUAGACUGAAUGCAAAGUCAAACGAUUGCAUCCAAUCUAAUAAAUAAUUUGCCCCAGAUCUUUGAUUAGGAUAUGAUUCAACAUCAGCAAUCAUUUCAAGGACAUCAAGUAUGGGCGAGAACAUGGUAAUCAAAGCGGUCAAAGUACCAUAGUGUGAUCCCCAAUGUGCAUCAUGAGGAGAAUUAACAGUACUAUGUUGAUCGAAACUUUGUCCAUUUGAAAUCUCAUUGUUCUCAAGUGCAUUUGAAAUUAUGGCUACUUGUUUCUCUCUGAGAAGAUCACAACGAUUAGACAAUACUCCAACAGUAUUCACCAUCCUAGAAACCAAACUGAAUAGUGAUCCAAUCUCCCUGUGAUUCUUCGCAACAUGUACAAGAGCUUGUUCAAGUCGAUGAGCAAAGCAAUGAAUGUAAAAUGCACACGGAUUCUCUUUCAAAAUAAGUUCUUUGAGACCAUUUAACUCACCUUGAAUAUCGCUAGCCACCUCAUAACCUUGUCCUCUCAAUCUAGAAAUACUCAACUCGUAUUUACAGAAUAAUUUAUCUAUAACCGCCUUAAGUGAGAAAGAUGUGGCACUAGAAACGUGUUCAAUACCCAUACAAUGUUCGACUACAUCUCCAGUGUUGUUCACAUAACGCAACACAAUAGACAUUUGCUCCUCUUGUGAGACAUCAAGAGACUUAUCAAGUAGAAUUGAGAAUAAGGCAUCACCAAUAUCUUCAAUAAUAACACUCAGCAUUUCAACAGCAGCAACACUUGCAAUAUCAUUUUGAAUAUCACGUGCUAUUAAAACGAGAUUCUCUGGAGCAUUUUUCAUAAUAGCCUUAAUCUCAGCACUUUUGUUGGCCAGCCACCACAAAAGUUGAAUAAAGUUACGUUGAUCUUCUGAAACCGCAAAUUCAUCAUCAUCGAAUACAAGUCCUUGUCGUGUGAGAAAUCGAACACAAUCAACUGAUACACUCAAAAGAGUCUGAGCACCUGCUUGCACGCGUGCUCCUCUAAUUAUAUCUUUCCUUGAUUUCUCUACAUCAUCAUUUUCUUCAUUAGAGAAUGGAGAUUUUCGUUUAAAAUAUCUCUCCAUAACUUCCUACAUGUCAAAAAGAGCAAACUCACUUCAACUAAAAGUCCAUAACAAACAACAAUUAAUAAUUUAUAUGAUUAACAGAACUCGAAUUAAACAGGCCAGUAAUAAUAAGCUCAAUUAAACAUAUUCGCAUCAAAUUAUACAUAAACACAGUAAGCCCAAUAAACUGUGUUCAAAAGAACCCACAUUAUAUAUGCCACUAAAUUAACUUCUAUUUCCUUCACUUAAGAUUGUUUUAUUAAGCAGAGUAAUCCACAAGCAGGAAAAAUGAAUUCUU
This 2447-nucleotide long non-coding RNA is filed under the name Olea europaea subsp. europaea. The record is from RNAcentral. Lineage: Eukaryota; Viridiplantae; Streptophyta; Magnoliopsida; Lamiales; Oleaceae.